GAGCCUAAAAUCUAGCCUGUACUUUUCCGUAUAAACUACCUUACAAUUCACCCAAACUAAAACAUUUAAACAUAACAGUAGCGGCGAUCGAAAUUAUACUUAGCGCUUAAUAAAUAGUACCGCAAGGGAAAGAUGAAAUAAUUAAUCUUAAGCUAAUAAUAGCAGAGACCCCAACUCGUACCUUUUGCAUCAUGGUCUAGCUAGUCUAACCAAGCAAAACGAAAAUUUUAGUUUGCCCCCCCGAAACUAAGCGAGCUACUUCAAAACAGCUUUUAGAGCUAACCCGUCUCUGUAGUAAAAGAGUGGGGAGAUUUUCAAGUAGAAGUGAUAAGCCUACCGAGCUUAGAAAUAGCUGGUUAUUCAAGAAAAGAACAAAAUUCUACCUCAAACCCCCCCCCUGCCACAAAACAAUCAACAAGGUUUGAGAGUUAUUCAAAUAAGGCACAGCUUAUUUGAAAAAGGAUACAACCUCCACCAUCGGGUAACCCAUAAUUCUCUCAUCAAGUGGGCCUGAAAGCAGCCACCUUUUAAAAAGCGUCACAGCUUAACUACCCUAACAUAAUCCCAUUUAUAUCGCCCAACCCAUCCCCAAUAUUGAAUGAUUCUAUAAUAAUAUAGAAUUCACUAUGCUAGAACUAGUAACAAGAAUUUAACAUUCUCCUAAAUGUAUGCGUCAACCAGAACGGAUUCCCCACUGGUAAUUAACGACAAUGAACCAAAUACAAUAACUCCCCAAGAAAACCCUGUACAACUCUUCGUUAACCUCAUACUAGAACAUUUUAGGUAAGAUUAAAAGAGAGAAAAGGAAUUCGGCAAAUCUCGACCCCGCCUGUUUACCAAAAACAUCGCCUCUUGCCAAUAAUAAGAGGUCCAGCCUGCCCAGUGAAAAUUAAACGGCCGCGGUACCCUAACCGCGCAAAGGUAGCAUAAUCACUUGUUCCUUAAAUAGGGACCAGUAUCAACGGCACCACGAGGGUCGCACUGUCUCCACUCUCCAAUCAGUGAAACUGAUCUUUCCGUGAAGAAGCGGAAAUAUAAUUAUAAGACGAGAAGACCCCAUGGAGCUUUAAACCUUAAUCAACUUAAUAUAAUAUCUCCUCAAUAAUUAUAAGCCUUGCCUAAUGGUUUUAGGUUGGGGCGACCACGGAGUAAAAACCAACCUCCACGACGAAAUAGGACCUAAUCCUUAUCCAAGAGACACCCCUCCAAGAAUUAGAAUACUAACGCACAUGACCCGAUAAUCGAUCAACGAACCAAGUUACCCUGGGGAUAACAGCGCAAUCUACUUCAAGAGCCCAUAUCGACAAGUAGGCUUACGACCUCGAUGUUGGAUCAGGGUAUCCUAGUGGUGCAGCCGCUACUAA
RNAcentral lists this ribosomal RNA (1364 nucleotides) under Philautus thamyridion. Its description in RNAcentral is "partial 16S ribosomal RNA". It matches the Rfam family "Bacterial large subunit ribosomal RNA", at positions 264 to 2568 of the family's 2925-position model. Lineage: Eukaryota; Metazoa; Chordata; Amphibia; Anura; Rhacophoridae. The record is from RNAcentral.